Ruminococcus sp. CAG:579 is the source of this 73-nucleotide transfer RNA. It matches the Rfam family "tRNA". From Rfam's summary of the family: Transfer RNA (tRNA) molecules are approximately 80 nucleotides in length. Their secondary structure includes four short double-helical elements and three loops (D, anti-codon, and T loops). NCBI's taxonomy places the organism in Bacteria, Bacillati, Bacillota, Clostridia, Eubacteriales, Oscillospiraceae. The record is from Rfam.
GCCUCUGUAGCUCAGUCGGUAGAGCAGGGGACUGAAAAUCCCCGUGUCGAUGGUUCGAUUCCGUCCGGAGGCA